RNAcentral lists this ribosomal RNA (379 nucleotides) under uncultured bacterium. RNAcentral describes it as "bacterial SSU rRNA". It matches the Rfam family "Bacterial small subunit ribosomal RNA", at positions 521 to 896 of the family's 1533-position model. The record is from RNAcentral.
UAAUACGUAGGGGGCGAGCGUUGUCCGGAUUUAUUGGGCGUAAAGAGCUCGUAGGCGGUUCCGCAAGUCGGAUAUGAAAUCUCCACGCUCAACGUGGAGGGGUUAUUCGAUACUGCGGUGACUAGAGUCCGGUAGGGGAGUGUGGAAUUCCCGGUGUAGCGGUGAAAUGCGCAGAGAUCGGGAGGAACACCCGUAGCGAAGGCGGCACUCUGGGCCGUGACUGACGCUGAGGAGCGAAAGCGUGGGUAGCGAACAGGAUUAGAUACCCUGGUAGUCCACGCCGUAAACGUUGGGCACUAGGUGUGGGACUCUAUCGACGGGUUCCGUGCCGCAGCUAACGCAUUAAGUGCCCCGCCUGGGGAGUACGGCCGCAAGGCUA